UACGAAGGGGGCUAGCGUUGUUCGGAAUCACUGGGCGUAAAGGGCGCGUAGGCGGCUUUUCAAGUCGGGAGUGAAAGCCUGUGGCUCAACCACAGAAUUGCCUUCGAUACUGUUAGGCUUGAGACCGGAAGAGGUGAGUGGAACUGCGAGUGUAGAGGUGAAAUUCGUAGAUAUUCGCAAGAACACCAGUGGCGAAGGCGGCUCACUGGUCCGGUUCUGACGCUGAGGCGCGAAAGCGUGGGGAGCAAACAGG
Molecule: ribosomal RNA, 253 nt
Filed under: uncultured bacterium
Lineage: Bacteria
Description: partial 16S ribosomal RNA
Rfam family: Bacterial small subunit ribosomal RNA
Source: RNAcentral